RNAcentral lists this ribosomal RNA (252 nucleotides) under uncultured bacterium. RNAcentral's name for it is "partial 16S ribosomal RNA". It matches the Rfam family "Bacterial small subunit ribosomal RNA", at positions 79 to 333 of the family's 1533-position model. The record is from RNAcentral.
CUAACGAAGAUGGCGACCGGCGCACGGGUGAGUAACACGUAUCCAACCUGCCUCAUACUCGGGGAUAGCCUUUCGAAGAAAGAUUAAUAUCCGAUAGCAUAUAUUUCCCGCAUGGGUUUUAUAUUAAAGAAAUUCGGUAUGAGAUGGGGAUGCGUUCCAUUAGUUUGUUGGGGGGGUAACGGCCCACCAAGACUACGAUGGAUAGGGGUUCUGAGAGGAAGGUCCCCCACAUUGGAACUGAGACACGGUCAA